AAUGAACGCUGGCGGCGUGCUUAACACAUGCAAGUCGUGCGCGAACGCAACUUCGGUUGUAAGUAGAGCGGCGAACGGGUGAGUAACGCGUGGACAACCUGCCUAGGAGUGGGGGAUAACUCAGGGAAACUUGAGCUAAUACCGCAUUCGCUCCCGGGACUUCGGUUCUGUGAGGAAAGAUGGCCUCUGCUUGCAAGCCAUCGCUCCUAGAGGGGUCCGCGUCUGAUUAGCUAGUUGGUGGGGUAAUGGCCCACCAAGGCUCCGAUCAGUAGCCGGCCUGAGAGGGUGAACGGCCACACUGGGACUGAGACACGGCCCAGACUCCUACGGGAGGCAGCAGUGGGGAAUAUUGGACAAUGGGCGCAAGCCUGAUCCAGCAACGCCGCGUGGAGGGUGAAGGUUCUCGGACUGUAAACUCCUGUCAGAGGGGACGAAAAGGUGGCGGUCAAUAUCCGCCGCCCUUGACGGUACCCUCAGAGGAAGCCCCGGCUAACUCCGUGCCAGCAGCCGCGGUAAUACGGGGGGGGCAAGCGUUAUUCGGAAUUAUUGGGCGUAAAGGGCGCGUAGGCGGCUUGUUAAGUCAAAGGUGAAAUCCCUCGGCUCAACCGAGGAACUGCCCUUGAUACUG
RNAcentral lists this ribosomal RNA (628 nucleotides) under uncultured bacterium. RNAcentral describes it as "bacterial SSU rRNA". It matches the Rfam family "Bacterial small subunit ribosomal RNA", at positions 28 to 635 of the family's 1533-position model. The record is from RNAcentral.